UACGUAGGCAGCGAGCGUUGUUCGGAGUUACUGGGCGUAAAGGGUGUGUAGGCGGUUGUUUAAGUUUGGUGUGAAAUCUCCUGGCUUAACUGGGAGGGUGCGCCGGAAACUGGAGUGCUCGAACGUGGGAGAGGAAAGCGGAAUUCCUGGUGUAGCGGUGAAAUGCGUAGAUAUCAGGAGGAACACCUGCGGUGUAGACGGCUUUCUGGACCAUUGUUGACGCUGAGACACGAAAGCGUGGGUAGCAAACAGG
RNAcentral lists this ribosomal RNA (253 nucleotides) under uncultured bacterium. Its description in RNAcentral is "partial 16S ribosomal RNA". It matches the Rfam family "Bacterial small subunit ribosomal RNA", at positions 524 to 776 of the family's 1533-position model. The record is from RNAcentral.